RNAcentral lists this ribosomal RNA (253 nucleotides) under uncultured bacterium. Its description in RNAcentral is "partial 16S ribosomal RNA". It matches the Rfam family "Bacterial small subunit ribosomal RNA", at positions 524 to 776 of the family's 1533-position model. The record is from RNAcentral.
UACGAAGGGGGCUAGCGUUGUUCGGAUUUACUGGGCGUAAAGGGCGCGUAGGCGGUUUAGCAAGUUGGAAGUGAAAGCCCGGGGCUUAACCUCGGAACUGCUUUCAAAACUGCUAAGCUAGAGUGUAGUAGGGGAUGAUGGAAUUCCUAGUGUAGAGGUGGAAUUCUUAGAUAUUAGGAGGAACACCGGUGGCGAAGGCGGUCAGCUGGGCUACAACUGACGCUGAGGCGCGAAAGCGGGGGGAGCAAACAGG